CCACAGCUGUGAAUAAAACACCUCAUGUCAACCUGGAUCAACAGAGUCUGCGUGAAAAUGCUCCCAGAAAUACAGUGUUCACUGCAGUC
This is a long non-coding RNA of Sinocyclocheilus grahami, 89 nucleotides long. RefSeq lists it as uncharacterized. The record is from RefSeq and is a predicted model, not a curated record. The transcript is spliced from 3 exons. NCBI's taxonomy places the organism in Eukaryota, Metazoa, Chordata, Actinopteri, Cypriniformes, Cyprinidae.